AAAAAAACAUUCUUGAAAUCUCAGUAAACUCAUACACCACCUGGUAAAAAACAACAAUCUUGAAGAAACAAAGCAUAAUUUUGAGCUCACCACUUGAGAAUUCUAACAACUAUUUUUUUCUACCUACAUUCUUAUGCAAAGAGCUAUUUACAUCAGUUGUAGCAAUUAGCAAUAGCAUAGCAACAUCCCCCACUCAUGUGGCAAGCCCAUUCAACAAAUGAACAACCUCACUCGCAAGUGGCCUAUCCAUCAUUAUUUCACUAGUACACAUUGAAGCAAUUCCAAAGUAUUCCUUUACUCUUUCUUCCCUUAACCCUUCCUUUGCCAUUUUUGAAUCCAACAUUUCCAUAUGCCUAUUUUGCUCCAACAUUUUCCUUGCCCAUACUAUCAACCCCACCUCCUUCCCCUCUAAAACCAUUGGCAAAUUAGGCCUUUCACCUGUCGCGAUUUCGAUCAUUAAUAUUCCAAAACUAUAAACAUCUGCUUUCACCGUAGCCGCUGUCACUCCCUCUUUGUACUCCGGUGGCAUGUACCCCAUUGUUCCGGCCACCUGCGUUGACACAUGCGAAUGUGGUCCGUCGAUCGCCCGUGCCAACCCAAAAUCGGCAAUAUGGGCUUCGAAUUCCGAGUCCAAUAAGACAUUACUGGCCUUGAUAUCUCUGUGUAUAAUUGGAGUCUCCAACUGGUGCAGAUAUGCAAGCCCAUUUGCUAUGCCUCUCACUACCUUAAUCCUCGUCUCCCAAGAUAACGGUAAAUUCGCUAACUGUUCGCUCCCCGGCGACGAGUAGUGCAGCCAUUGGUCCAGGUUGCCUUUCUCAAUGAACUCGUAAAUUAACACCCUAUCGAGCCCGGACACGCAGUACCCAAGAAUUCUCACAAUAUUUGGGUGUUGUAGCUUACCUAAGGUUUCCAUCUCUGCUCGGAACUCCCGAAAACCUUGAAAGGCGUUGGGGUCGAGCUUCUUGAUGGCCACGGUGACGCCGUCGGAGAGACUGGCUUUAUAUACGAACCCGAAACUGCCGUCGCCGACAAUCAAGUCAGCGGAGAAAUUCUUGGUAGCGAUUUUUAGCUCAUCCAUGGAGACCCGGUUCAAACUGGGGUCAAAAGUGGCACUUUCAUCGAUGGUUAUGGAAGAGAGGUGAGGAUUGGGCACAGUUCGGAUACCGUUCAAUCCGAGUGUUUGGUGUUGGGGAUGGUGGAGGUUGUAGCGACGCGUGCGAUUUUUGGAGGAUUUGCAGAUGAGGCAGAUGAAAGCAAAGAAAGCAGAGAUGAAGAAGAAACUAGCAGCGGCGGCAAGAACAGAUUGAAGGGUAGAGUUCAUUUUGGAAGAAAAUGAGAGAGAGAGAAGG
RNAcentral lists this unclassified non-coding RNA (1349 nucleotides) under Hevea brasiliensis (rubber tree). The record is from RNAcentral. Lineage: Eukaryota; Viridiplantae; Streptophyta; Magnoliopsida; Malpighiales; Euphorbiaceae.